AAAAAUUAAAAAUUAAAAAACAUAAUAAAUAACUGUAAAAUAAAAUUUAAAUAAAUAAGAAUGCAUUUUUAAAUAUUUAUGAUAUUUAAAUAUUUAUGAUAUUUUAUAAAUAUAUAUAGAUUACCAAUGUUUUAAAAAUCAAAUUGAACAUUAAAUCGAUGAAACUCCGUAUCAAAGUUCAAUCAAUUCAACCAAUUCAACUGGCAUUCGAACCGGAUAUAAA
Molecule: long non-coding RNA, 223 nt
Filed under: Lathyrus oleraceus (garden pea)
Lineage: Eukaryota; Viridiplantae; Streptophyta; Magnoliopsida; Fabales; Fabaceae
Description: Pisum sativum (pea) long non-coding RNA (PSAT_LNC001026)
Source: RNAcentral